RNAcentral lists this ribosomal RNA (377 nucleotides) under uncultured organism. RNAcentral describes it as "partial 16S ribosomal RNA". It matches the Rfam family "Bacterial small subunit ribosomal RNA", at positions 526 to 896 of the family's 1533-position model. The record is from RNAcentral.
GUAGGUGGGCAAGCGUUGUCCCGGAAUUAUUGGGCGUAAAAGCGCGCGCAGGGCGGUCCUUUAAGUCUGAUGUGAAAAGCCCACGGCUCAACCGUGGAGGGUCAUUGGAAACUGGGGGACUUGAGUACAGAAGAGGAAAGCGGAAUUCCAAGUGUAGCGGUGAAAUGCGUAGAGAUUUGGAGGAACACCAGUGGCGAAGGCGGCUUUCUGGUCUGUAACUGACGCUGAGGCGCGAAAGCGUGGGGAGCAAACAGGAUUAGAUACCCUGGUAGUCCACGCCGUAAACGAUGAGUGCUAAGUGUUAGGGGGUUUCCGCCCCUUAGUGCUGCAGCUAACGCAUUAAGCACUCCGCCUGGGGAGUACGGCCGCAAAGGCUG